This 806-nucleotide unclassified non-coding RNA is filed under the name uncultured Prochlorococcus sp. RNAcentral describes it as "partial 16S-23S ribosomal RNA intergenic spacer; may also contain 16S ribosomal RNA and 23S ribosomal RNA". The stretch from base 1 to 93 matches the Rfam family "Bacterial small subunit ribosomal RNA", at positions 1441 to 1533 of the family's 1533-position model. Lineage: Bacteria; Bacillati; Cyanobacteriota; Cyanophyceae; Synechococcales; Prochlorococcaceae. The record is from RNAcentral.
UUGUGGAGGAGGACGCCGAAGGUGGGGCUGAUGACUGGGGUGAAGUCGUAACAAGGUAGCCGUACCGGAAGGUGCGGCUGGAUCACCUCCUAACAGGGAGACAAUUAAUUGAUUGUGAUGUUUGAGUAAUUAUCUUAGGCCGCAAUCCUGUCACUUAAGGUCGAUCGGUACCUCAGAUUUUUGAAUUAAUUUUAUAAUUAAUCCUUUAAUUUCAGUUCCUAAACUUGUCUAGGUCACACCCAACAAGGGUUUCUCCUGGGCCAUUAGCUCAGGUGGUUAGAGCGCACCCCUGAUAAGGGUGAGGUCCCUGGUUCAAGUCCAGGAUGGCCCAUUCGGUGUUGGGGGUUUAGCUCAGUUGGUAGAGCGCCUGCUUUGCAAGCAGGAUGUCAGCGGUUCGAGUCCGCUAACCUCCACUGAUUUAACCUCCCUUCAAUGAAAGUUUAAGGAGGUUCCUUGUAACUUGUGAUUUAGAUUAGUUUUCUCUGAAGAAGACCCUAGCUUCUUAUCAUUCCUCAAAUUAAAUUAAAUUUAGUAGAGGUUGAUAUGACGCUGGGCUCUCUGGAAUUGUAAAAGAUUUCAGAAAAGUUCAGUAGAACCUUGACAACUGCAUAGGUGAGUCUGGAAAGAACAAAGCAUCUCAUGGAUGCAUUAUUGCUUUUUCUUUUUAUGUAAUUUCUGAUUUAUCGGCAUUACUAACUACGUAAACGGCAAUAAUGUUUAAUUCUUGAGCAAGAGCCGAGACUCAAUUAAUUCAAAUAUCUUGCUUUCGCAAGUGACUUAAUUGAGGAUUAUUGGUCAAGCUACAA